This 305-nucleotide ribosomal RNA is filed under the name uncultured bacterium. RNAcentral describes it as "bacterial SSU rRNA". It matches the Rfam family "Bacterial small subunit ribosomal RNA", at positions 334 to 656 of the family's 1533-position model. The record is from RNAcentral.
UUUUCCUACGGGAGGCAGCAGUGGGGGAUAUUGCACAAUGGGGGAAACCCUGAUGCAGCGACGCCGCGUGAGUGAAGAAGUAUUUCGGUAUGUAAAGCUCUAUCAGCAGGGAAGAAGAUGACAGUACCUGAGUAAGAAGCCCCGGCUAACUACGUGCCAGCAGCCGCGGUAAUACGUAGGGGGCAAGCGUUAUCCGGAUUUACUGGGUGUAAAGGGAGCGUAGACGGUUGUAUAAGUCUGGAGUGAAAGCCCGGGGCCCAACCCCGGGACUGCUUUGGAAACUGUGUAACUUGAGUACAGGAGGG